UACGUAGGUGGCGAGCGUUGUCCGGAUUUAUUGGGCGUAAAGCGCGCGCAGGUGUGCGGUAAGUCCGCUGUGAAAUCUCCCGGCUCAACUGGGAGGGGGCGGUGGAGACUGCCGUGCUGGAGGGACCGAGAGGCUGGUGGAAUUCCCGGUGUAGUGGUGAAAUGCGUAGAGAUCGGGAGGAACACCUGUGGCGAAGGCGGCCAGCUGGGGGUACCCUGACGCUGAAGCGCGAAAGCGUGGGGAGCGAACCGG
Molecule: ribosomal RNA, 252 nt
Filed under: uncultured bacterium
Lineage: Bacteria
Description: partial 16S ribosomal RNA
Rfam family: Bacterial small subunit ribosomal RNA
Source: RNAcentral